GAAUAUUGCGCAAUGGGCGAAAGCCUGACGCAGCGACGCCGCGCGGGUGAUGAAGGCCUUCGGGUCGUAAAGCCCUGUCGGGAGGGACGAAACAUCGGCAACCCAAUACGUUGUCGACUUGACGGUACCUCCUAAGGAAGCACCGGCUAACUCCGUGCCGGCCGCCGCGGUAAUACGGAGGGUGCAAGCGUUGUUCGGAAUUACUGGGCGUAAAGCGCGUGUAGGCGGUUUCCUAAGUCUGGUGUGAAAGCCCGGGGCUCACCCCCGGAAGUGCAUUGGAUACUGGGAGACUAGAGUACCGGAGAGGAGGGUGGAAUUCCUGGUGUAGCGGUGAAAUGCGUAGAUAUCAGGAAGAACACCGGUGGCGAAGGCGGCCCUCUGGACGGAUACUGACGCUGAGACGCGAAAGCGUGGGGAGCAAACAGG
RNAcentral lists this ribosomal RNA (426 nucleotides) under uncultured bacterium. Its description in RNAcentral is "bacterial SSU rRNA". It matches the Rfam family "Bacterial small subunit ribosomal RNA", at positions 359 to 776 of the family's 1533-position model. The record is from RNAcentral.